Molecule: long non-coding RNA, 2696 nt
Organism: Solanum lycopersicum (tomato)
Lineage: Eukaryota; Viridiplantae; Streptophyta; Magnoliopsida; Solanales; Solanaceae
Source: RefSeq, a predicted model, not a curated record
AAUCAAUCCUCACUCUAAAUUUAACUAAUUUCUUCCCUCCAUUUUAACAGACCAAGUUUUGAGCCUUAAUUACAAUUUCAAGCAGCCCACUCCCAACUCCAAUCGAUCCAGUCCAGCCAACUUAUUUUCUAUUCUCAAAAGAACCCAGAAGUCCCACAGCGUCUCCUUUUCCCUCACGCGUCAACAACGGUGUCUAGGCGAUACUUUUUUUUCUUGUCGUCUUCUCUGAUUACCUCGACAAAAAGUACGCCUACUACUGUUCAAGCGCUGAUUCCAGCUGCAACUUCGUCCUCACCAGCGUGAGACCGAGUCACGUAGCUCGUAAGGCCGAAAGAUCAACCCCAGCCAUCCACCUCGUGCGAAUUUGUUAAGCAUUGGAGAAUCAAUUUAGGAUAUUCUAUUAUUUCUGGAUAGAGUUCUGUUUGGAAUUCAAAAUUUUAGGCCCAUUAUCAAAGUUCCACAUUGUUUCUCACCCUCAAAUUCGACCCAGGAGCUGCCCUAUAAAUACCCUUCUCAUUAACUAUUUAAGGAGAGGUUUUUUUUGGACUUGAGAGUAGUACCCCUAUAAGGUAUGGGAGUUCUCGGUUCAAAAUAGUUAAAAGUUUUGGUGUUUGUUCGAGUGGAAGAAGUAAAGUCACCUUCUCAACUCGUCGUGUUCCGGUCGCUGUCAAGAAUCAGGGACCUUAUGAAGGAACGUGGUUCUUGGCUCAAUAUACUUUUUGGCUGCCAGCUGGAAGUACGAAAAGUUGAUGCAUAGUCUCCAACAGUGGCAUAAGGGGCAGACGCGCUAGAAUCCUCAGCCAAUGGGAUUGUUUUACGUUUUGUGACCUUUCUACAUAAACAAAACAUCCCCAUAUUCACAGUUAGUUUUUGCAACUUGAAAAAGCACAUUCAAGAACUCUUGCAAAGGCUAAAGAAAAUCAAGAAGAAGAAUCAUUCAAGAACAACCGAAACUCAGGUGAACAUUGUGUAGUUGUUUGAGAAUAUAUUCUUUCGAUCUUACAUGUAAACUGAUCCUAAAUCUGUAAAGGAAUCAGUGUGGUUGUAUAUAAAAUUCUAAAUCAUUAAUAGGUUAGUGAUUUAGUGGGCAGUCUGUGAGAUUGCUUAGAAAAUUCUGUCUAGAGUGAUAGCUUAGUGGGUAGAGUAAUAUCUACUUAGGCUCAUCAAGCAAUAGAGCUAUUGCUUGAUAGUGAGAUUAAAAACUUUUUCUCACAUUUUUGUAAUCGAUUUCCUUUUGCUUGUGAAGAUUAGUGAAACUGUUUUGAAAAUCAUGUGAGACAGUCGUGAUUUUACUCCCUUGAGCAAGGAGGUUUCCAGACGCACAGAUUCUAACAAGUGAUAUCAGAGCGGGUACUCUCUAUCUGGUUAAUACCAAGAGAGUAAUUCCUGUUCUAGAAUGGCUGCUCCACUCAAUCUGGAAGAGGGUCAGUCUUCGAUUCGACCUCCUCGGUUCAAUGGUCACUUCUAUAACUGGUGGAAAGUUAGCAUGCAUGAUUUCCUUAUGGCUAAAGAUAGUGAACCGUGGGAUAUUGUCUCAGAUGGACCAUUUGUUCCUAUGAUUGAAGAAAAAGAUGGUGAAAUCACUAGACUUGUUCCAAAGCCUAGACGCAAAUACGAUGAAGCUGACAGGAAGAAGAUUGAAAAGGGCUACAAAGAAAAUAAGCUUUUUGUAUGUGGUAUAGGACCUAAUGAGUUCAAUCGUGUCUCAGCUUGUGAAUCAGCAAAGGAGAUUUGAGAUUUCUUAAAAACAGCUCAUGAAGGAACUGAACAAGUAAAAGAGUCAAAGAUCGAUAUGCUUACCUCUCAGUAUGAAAGUUUCAAAAUGAGAGUAGGUGAAACCAUUCAUGAGAUGUUCACAAAGCUGUCAUCAACCACAAAUGAGUUGAGAAGUCUUGAAGAACCCAUCAGUAUGAGCAAACAAGUCAGGAAAGUUCUUCGAAUCCUUCCCAAGUCCUGAGAAAGCAAGGUGGAUGCAAUCACUGAAUCAAAAGAUCUGAAAGUAUUGACAAUGGAUGCUCUUAUUGGAAAUCUCAAAACUCAUGAGAUGACCCAAAGUUAUGAUCAGUCAAAGAAAGAAGCCAAAAAGGAUAAGUCUUUAAUGCUGAAACACAGAUUUGAAGAAGGCUCCAGUGAAGAUGAUGAUAUGGCUUACCUUAUCAAAAGGUUUCAGAAGAUUAUGAGAAAAAACAAGGGAUUCAGAAAGGGAUCAAAUGUUCUUCGAACUGCAACUCCAAAUGCUACUUGUCACAAAUGUGGAAACACUAGACAUUUUAUAAAUGAUUGUCCAUCACUUAAAGCUGAAAACAGAGAAUAUCAAAGACCAAGAGGCAAGAAAGAGAAACCCAGGGACCUGGUACUUGAUAAAAGUGAGUGAAAAGCUGCAACUGAUUAUGUGGUCAAGAAAGCUCUUGCUGCAUGGGGAGAUUCUUCAAGUGAUUCAGAAGACUUUGAUGAAUCUAAUGAUGCAUCAAUGGUGGUGGUUCAUGAUGAGAAUAAUAUAUUCGAUGAAAUGUUUACUCUUAUGGCUCAGUCAGAUGAUGAAGAUGCUGAGGAUAAGGUAUAGGGGUGUGCAUCGGUCGGUUCGGUUCGGUUUUACAUAUAAUCGGUUCGGUUUAUCGGUUUUCGGUUUUAAAAUAUGCUAACCCAAUAAUAAACCAAUAAGAAAUUUUUUAUCGAUUUAUCAGUUUUUUAUGUUA